UUUUAUGGAGAGUUUGAUCCUGGCUCAGGACGAACGCUGGCGGCGUGCCUAAUACAUGCAAGUCGAGCGGACAAUUGAGAGCUUGCUCUCAAUUGUUAGCGGCGGACGGGUGAGUAACACGUGGGCAACCUGCCCUGUAGACUGGGAUAACUUCGGGAAACCGAAGCUAAUACCGGAUAAUCUUUAGCAUCACAUGGUGCAAAAGUAAAAGUUGGGUUUUACCUAACACUACAGGAUGGGCCCGCGGCGCAUUAGCUAGUUGGUAAGGUAACGGCUUACCAAGGCGACGAUGCGUAGCCGACCUGAGAGGGUGAUCGGCCACACUGGGACUGAGACACGGCCCAGACUCCUACGGGAGGCAGCAGUAGGGAAUCUUCCGCAAUGGACGAAAGUCUGACG
This 399-nucleotide ribosomal RNA is filed under the name Anaerobacillus isosaccharinicus. RNAcentral describes it as "bacterial SSU rRNA". It matches the Rfam family "Bacterial small subunit ribosomal RNA", at positions 1 to 388 of the family's 1533-position model. The record is from RNAcentral. Lineage: Bacteria; Bacillati; Bacillota; Bacilli; Caryophanales; Bacillaceae.